Non-coding RNA from Ictidomys tridecemlineatus (thirteen-lined ground squirrel), 71 nucleotides. Lineage: Eukaryota; Metazoa; Chordata; Mammalia; Rodentia; Sciuridae. The record is from Rfam.
GGGGCUGUAGCUCAGUGGUAGAGCACCUACCUUGCAUGUGUGAGGCACUGGGUUCCAUCCUCAGUACCUCA